GGAGUCGUGCCUGAAUGCCAAAGGACUACUUUGAUAGAGUAUAUCAUGGAGGCUAAAAUCCUCCCAGCUCCU
RNAcentral lists this transfer RNA (72 nucleotides) under Kryptopterus bicirrhis (glass catfish). RNAcentral describes it as "tRNA-Ile". It matches the Rfam family "tRNA". From Rfam's summary of the family: Transfer RNA (tRNA) molecules are approximately 80 nucleotides in length. Their secondary structure includes four short double-helical elements and three loops (D, anti-codon, and T loops). RNAcentral also lists the same sequence under 1 other name. Lineage: Eukaryota; Metazoa; Chordata; Actinopteri; Siluriformes; Siluridae. The record is from RNAcentral.